Molecule: long non-coding RNA, 591 nt
Organism: Arabidopsis thaliana (thale cress)
Lineage: Eukaryota; Viridiplantae; Streptophyta; Magnoliopsida; Brassicales; Brassicaceae
Product: other RNA
Exons: 1
Source: RefSeq
ACCAUUCCCAUUUCAAAAGAUAACAACAACAACAACAACAAAUCAUAGCAUUUCAAAUUCAAGAAUAGCGAGAAGAAGAAGAAGAAGAAGAGAGCUUAAGACAUUCACUUUGACAUCUUCUGAGACAAAUGUCAUUCCAAUUAGCAACUUGAUGCUGGUUAACGCAAACAGUUCGAGCACAAGCAUCAGAGCAAGCGUCGAGCUCAGAUACACCGCAGACAGUAACACAAGUGUCGGGGAUAGGAUCUUUAGAGAAAGCUCCAACUUUUUUCAGCAUUCUUUUGGAAGUGCAAACUCUUUCACAGACAAAGAUUUCAUCAGAGCUUUUCUCUCUUCCUCGAGCACUCUUGAUCCUCUCUUCUUCGCCAUGUCUCUUCUUUAUCCUCCAAGCUUGACCAGCAAUUAGUGCAGGCACUGCUGCUCCUAUCAGUGACCACCACACCUCCACCAUUUUUCUCUUCUUUAAGACUUGAAUUUUACACUGCGCAUUGCAAACAAAAUUGAUCUGGAACACAAGUUCAAAACAAAGGUUGAAUUUUUAAGGAAGAUAACAAUCUGAUAUCGUCGUAAUUGAAAUUAAAAAUCCAACCU